This is a long non-coding RNA of Mobula hypostoma (lesser devil ray), 683 nucleotides long. RefSeq lists it as uncharacterized. The record is from RefSeq and is a predicted model, not a curated record. NCBI's taxonomy places the organism in Eukaryota, Metazoa, Chordata, Chondrichthyes, Myliobatiformes, Myliobatidae. The transcript is spliced from 4 exons.
CCUGGAGUGCCACAUGAGUGGCAGCUGUACUAUUGAUGUGCAUGAAUAUAACAGCACUGUACGGAAAGCAUUGAAUAGGAAGGACAUAAUGGAGGAAAGCCAAUAAAAGACAGUAGGUGGAUUAGAAUCCUUCCACUUCAAUAAAAUGGCUCUCCUCGCCAAUAAAGUUGAAAAGGCUAUCAUACAUCGAGCGGAAACAGGAAUAUUUCCUGCUUCCGAUGGGAUAAUCCCGAAGAUUGCGUACUGUUGGAAAUGCAGAGAUCUAUGCUAUUGUGCCUCCUUGAACAGCUUUAAGUUCCUUGGCAUAAACAUCUCAUGUGGUCUGUAAAUACCGGCUGUGUGGUGAAAAAGGCACAACAGCGCAUCUCUCACCUCAGACGGUUGAAGAAGUUUGGUAUGGGCCCCCAAAUCCCAAGAACUUUUUACGAGGACGCAAUUGAGAGCAUCCUGACUGGCUGCAUCGCUACCUGGAUGUGAAUAUCAUCGGCAAUGCCAGAAUGUAUUGUCCCUCCCUACAGAAAUAAAGUCCUAGACAGACCAGAACAGACCAGACAAAUUUCACUCAUUUUAGGAUUGAUUUUUACAACUAAAGUUCAGUGGUUUCUUGGUUACCAUUACUGAGACAAGUUUUUUACCUUUAAAUUGCAUGUGUAUUAUUCACUUGCAUGAAUCACUGUAUUAAA